This is a long non-coding RNA of Neocloeon triangulifer, 1197 nucleotides long. RefSeq lists it as uncharacterized. Lineage: Eukaryota; Metazoa; Arthropoda; Insecta; Ephemeroptera; Baetidae. The transcript is spliced from 2 exons. The record is from RefSeq and is a predicted model, not a curated record.
UUAAUCGGAGCUGGAUCGGAGUAAAUUUUAUAAAUGAUUUAAAAUUUUUCAAAGUGUAUCACACAGUAGGAGGUAAAUGUACAAUAAAAAAUCUGGUUUUUGCGAAUUUAUUAAGUAAUUUAGUGACAAGAAAUAUGGUCACGAAUGAAAGUAUCGUAAAUUAGCAAAAUCACCAAGAAUUAAAAAUGAUGGAAUCAUAAUUUUAUUCUUCAUUAAUUUUAAAUUUCAUUGAGUAUAUAAAUUUUUAAAGAUAUUUCAUUGAUUUUAUUUUAAUGACCAAAAUAAAACCUUAUGCAGUAAAAUUAAAAAUAUUAUCCAUUAUUAAUUUCCUUGUUGAGACGAAAAUAAUCUCAUUUCUUUUGCAAGAACUUAUCUAAACUGGGAGCGGUUGUGUGUAUAAAUUUCACUCUCUGACAACCCUAUACAUAAAACACAAAUUUCCACUGGGACAUCCACAAAUUACGCCAAGUGAGCGCUCUCCGUUUGCAUCAACUGAAUCAAGGACGCCGCCUGAGAAUAUACAACCACUGAAUUAUGGCCCUUUUUGUCCAGCAAAAGAAAAAAAAAUACCAACCGGCGAUAAAAAGCUGCAAUCAAAUAUACACAAUACCUUUCAGGGGACUUGAAAUCCGCCAACUCACUCCUCGUCCUCACAACUUGGCCGAAAGUUUGACCAACUUGUCCGUGGGAAAAUCACUUUCUCAAAGGGCAGACUGUAACUGAAGCAAGUCGUUUGCCUCACCAGACUAUACUAGACCCGGACUGUGGUUGACUGCCGGCAGCUCCACACACUGUAGGCGCACCAGAGCGUGUCCGUCGUAAGCCCCAUUGGGUGCAAAAGCGGGAGCAUCUCCAUUCAAAUCUAAAGAAUUCCCAGACGCCAAUGUGAAGCCGUUCAUCCGACCAGUCUGCCCAGGUGGAACAAAUCAGAAUGCAUGAAUUUUCUUGGCCAAAUUGAGCUUUCUUUAAUAUUUUUCUAAACUUUACAUUAUGGUAAAAAAAUCGCAAUUUUCUUAAGCAACGAUAUAAAUUUAUAUUUUGUUACAAAUGCACCUCAAUCGUGGAAUAUUAUUAUUUGUGUUAAUUAAAACUUCCUACAAUUACUCUUAAACAAUGGAAUAGUUUUUUGUUUUUCACAGUGGUUAUUACUGGAUAAAAAAUCAAAGCAAAGUAAGAAUAUAAGUACGCAAUAGGUGU